UUAAAUUGAAGAGUUUGAUCAUGGCUCAGAUUGAACGCUGGCGGCAGGCCUAACACAUGCAAGUCGAACGGUAACAGGAAACAGCUUGCUGUUUCGCUGACGAGUGGCGGACGGGUGAGUAAUGUCUGGGAAACUGCCUGAUGGAGGGGGAUAACUACUGGAAACGGUAGCUAAUACCGCAUAACGUCGCAAGACCAAAGAGGGGGACCUUAGGGCCUCUUGCCAUCGGAUGUGCCCAGAUGGGAUUAGCUAGUAGGUGGGGUAAAGGCUCACCUAGGCGACGAUCCCUAGCUGGUCUGAGAGGAUGACCAGCCACACUGGAACUGAGACACGGUCCAGACUCCUACGGGAGGCAGCAGUGGGGAAUAUUGCACAAUGGGCGCAAGCCUGAUGCAGCCAUGCCGCGUGUAUGAAGAAGGCCUUCGGGUUGUAAAGUACUUUCAGCGGGGAGGAAGGGAGUAAAGUUAAUACCUUUGCUCAUUGACGUUACCCGCAGAAGAAGCACCGGCUAACUCCGUGCCAGCAGCCGCGGUAAUACGGAGGGUGCAAGCGUUAAUCGGAAUUACUGGGCGUAAAGCGCACGCAGGCGGUUUGUUAAGUCAGAUGUGAAAUCCCCGGGCUCAACCUGGGAACUGCAUCUGAUACUGGCAAGCUUGAGUCUCGUAGAGGGGGGUAGAAUUCCAGGUGUAGCGGUGAAAUGCGUAGAGAUCUGGAGGAAUACCGGUGGCGAAGGCGGCCCCCUGGACGAAGACUGACGCUCAGGUGCGAAAGCGUGGGGAGCAAACAGGAUUAGAUACCCUGGUAGUCCACGCCGUAAACGAUGUCGACUUGGAGGUUGUGCCCUUGAGGCGUGGCUUCCGGAGCUAACGCGUUAAGUCGACCGCCUGGGGAGUACGGCCGCAAGGUUAAAACUCAAAUGAAUUGACGGGGGCCCGCACAAGCGGUGGAGCAUGUGGUUUAAUUCGAUGCAACGCGAAGAACCUUACCUGGUCUUGACAUCCACGGAAGUUUUCAGAGAUGAGAAUGUGCCUUCGGGAACCGUGAGACAGGUGCUGCAUGGCUGUCGUCAGCUCGUGUUGUGAAAUGUUGGGUUAAGUCCCGCAACGAGCGCAACCCUUAUCCUUUGUUGCCAGCGGUCCGGCCGGGAACUCAAAGGAGACUGCCAGUGAUAAACUGGAGGAAGGUGGGGAUGACGUCAAGUCAUCAUGGCCCUUACGACCAGGGCUACACACGUGCUACAAUGGCGCAUACAAAGAGAAGCGACCUCGCGAGAGCAAGCGGACCUCAUAAAGUGCGUCGUAGUCCGGAUUGGAGUCUGCAACUCGACUCCAUGAAGUCGGAAUCGCUAGUAAUCGUGGAUCAGAAUGCCACGGUGAAUACGUUCCCGGGCCUUGUACACACCGCCCGUCACACCAUGGGAGUGGGUUGCAAAAGAAGUAGGUAGCUUAACCUUCGGGAGGGCGCUUACCACUUUGUGAUUCAUGACUGGGGUGAAGUCGUAACAAGGUAACCGUAGGGGAACCUGCGGUUGGAUCACCUCCUUACCUUAAAGAAGC
This 1556-nucleotide ribosomal RNA is filed under the name Escherichia coli. RNAcentral's name for it is "bacterial SSU rRNA". It matches the Rfam family "Bacterial small subunit ribosomal RNA". Lineage: Bacteria; Pseudomonadati; Pseudomonadota; Gammaproteobacteria; Enterobacterales; Enterobacteriaceae. The record is from RNAcentral. RNAcentral also lists the same sequence under 1 other name.